UUAAGUGGAUUAUGUAAAUGUAACUUAUCUGCAAAGGGUUGUUAAUUGAUCGCAUGACAGCGUUAACUGUUGACGACGCAACACAUGUCAUCCAACAUAUUGCUAAACAUGUGGAACUUGAACUUGUCACGUUAUAACGUAUAGCGAUACAACAUGUAGGGUUUAAACGCGUGACCGUGCAUCAUGUAAUCGUACUGUGUCAAUAUACCCGUCGAGUAUUCAACAAAGAAUCAGCGGUCGUAUUUAUCAGCCGUCAAACAACGAUACAAACACGUGAUUUAGUAACGAUCUUCAGAUAUAUAUAUAAAUGUUCGUAAAAAAGACGAUUUGAAGAUAACUCCGUGACAGUAUAAUUAUAUGAGAAUGAAAUUAAAAGUAAAUAUUAAAUGAAGUUCAAGCAUGAUAAGUGCAAAGUGCAUUUCGUAAAAGACGUUCGUGAAAUUUCGUGUAACAAAAAGAGAAAAGAGAUAUUGCUCGGACGAGUGUACUUCAUUAAUAUUACGGUAUAGGAAUCGAUAAUAAAGUAUUCUGCAUAAGCCAGAAGUUGGAUCGUAUGUUUCUUUGAUUAACAGUUUAAUGAACCCGUAAUCGCACGUACCGGAGACUAUCAUGUAUCUGAGUUAUUACUUUGGUAGUAACCGAUAUGUUUAAUUUUAAUAAUAAUCUUGAAAAAAAAAAACGAGUCGAAUCGACAAAACAGUGGAGCAUCGCCCAAUCUAUAAUUAGCAUCACAUAUUCUGGUUAUUUGCACUCAAGUCAGCUUCAUUUUUCUGUGUCGCCUAACUCGACAUUUACAUUUUAUUUUUUCUAUUUCUUUGACACAAAUACACCUGGAUUUUUUUCGAUUCUAAUAGUAUCCCAUAAGAUGUUUAAUACAUUAAUUGCUAUCGGAAGAUUUCGCUCGCUCUUUAGCAAGUUUAAUAUGUUUUCGCGUCCUCGCGCGAAAUACGGAUUUAAGUCAUUUCCAGUUAUUUUACAUAAAUUUGAUUAAUCUACAUACAAGUUUGACCAGUUCAUUUCUUCUUAACCGCUCUUGCUACGCGAGAAUAUUAUCAAGAAUAGUAUCCAAUUUUAUCAACAUUUUUCAGCGAGUUAAUUGAACUUUCGAUUCGGUUCAAAAAUGUCAGUGUCCGACAAAACUUCCCUUUUCUGACAUGAAAACGGUCCACAGGAAAAGGAUAACAAAAACAGUAUUAUUUCUCACACUUUGGAUGAAAAAUCACGUUCAGUCGUAAGCUUCAGACGUAAAAACAUUGUACUGUUUUAUCCCAUUUUUUUCAUGACGUCACGCGUCAACAUCAUCCCAUAACCGCAUAUCUUUUAUGUGCCAAGGUUUAUAACAAAUAAAUAUAACAUUUGGAUGGUAAUGAAUUUUACAAUUUUCUACACAAUUCAACCUUUGAACAUUCGUUUCCCAAAGGUUAAACAAGGAAUUUGCAUGUCAGUACACAGCAUAUCCGGUUGAGGUGUAUAAAUAUUACUGUUUCUUCACAUAGGCAGUUUAUUGCGCAUUUCGAGAUGAAUUUAAUCUUUCAAAAGUGAUAAUUAAAAGGAAAAAAAUUGCCUUAUUUAAGAUAAUAACGAUUCAAUGUAUCAGUGAUGGCAAAAGAAUACAUAGUGAUCAAUUUUUUUUUAGUCAUUCAAUUUGCAAAUUAAUUUAUUAAUGCUGUACCGAGAAAGAAAAAAUGAAUAGUUGGUUUUCUAAACAUUUCCAUGCUGAAUACUUAUUUCAGUAUAUUAGGAUACGCUGAUUACGUAUACGCAUAUACGUCAUGAGAGGAGCUAUAGGUCAAUAUUAAACAAUCAUCCUUCUACGAAGAACAUGAAAGGAAAAUAAAACAUUAGAAUUCAAAAGCCGUAGAAAAACAUUUCAUAAAUCAUAUGUAUCAUAAAACCGAUCAUAAAUAAUAAGCCGAUAAUACAAAUUUUUGUUGGUGUAAUUAAUAAUAAAAAAGAGCCUUAAAAUACCUUCUAAUGAAUAAGUAGCAAAGUCCGUAAGCCUCAAUGAAUAUUUACAUUUAAUAGACAUAACUAUAACGUCUAAAUAUCCGCAGAUCGGUAAAUGUCAAUGGAGAUAAGUUGAAAAGAAUUAUAAACGUGAUUUUAUUUUGGGUAUUGGAAGUCGUGUGAAUCGCGUUUGAAAAACGAUUAAGUAACGCGAUAAUUACACACGCGUUGGUACAACUUUAUCUUCGUUAAUUUAAAUAAUAUAUUGGCUGCGAUGACAUAUAUUGUCGCGAGAGUAUCGCGAGUAGAAAUUUGGAAGCAAAAACUUUCAACUCGAUAACAAAAAAACAACGAAAUACGCUUGGACGCGCGUGACCUGUCCGAUAAACUUUGUUGCUUACCACAAGGUGAAAAUGCCGGCAGUAAUGUGGGUUUUUGAAUAAUUCUCGAAUAUUCGAGCGACGGGGGUAUCAGAAAAUGAUCGAAUUAUUAUUGCGAACGUACAUCUUGUUAGUGAAAGAAUAUGCCGUAAGGAUUUCGCGGUUUGUUGACUACCUAACGGCUCGAUGCAUUCCCGCACAAUAUUUUAUUUUUUCUUACGAGUAGAUAAAUUAAUUUUUAAAUAUUCUGUGAACGAACAAAAUUUAAAUUAAAUCGUUCAAUUGACGAUGGCGCGUUCCCUUGUUAAUAUUACUGACACCUAGCCGAAGCAUAUGGCGAUUCGUUAGAAUUUCCGGCUGCUACCAGAAAUCGAUGCGCGCGCAGGAACAGCUCAUCAUUUGACGGAGUAACGGAUGAGGAGCUCUUAUUUAGGUAGAUGACCAAAGAAAACAAGAUGAGGUAUGAACCGUCUAUUGUGAAUGCAAUUUAAACUCGCUUAUUUCAGUCUAUCGUCACCUUCUUUGCAGACAAGAUUAUUUCUUCCGAUUAAAUUCAACCCGAGUUUAAAAAAACGACUGCGUUUCAAGUUCUCUGAUGUUCGAUAAAAUAACGAAACGAAUUAAUAGAAAGAUUAUUUCGUAACGCGUUUCAUGGAAAGUUCAACAAUCUGAAAUAUGUUACAUAUAACUUUUACCGAAUACUUUCUAAGGUAUUGUGUUUACAAAACUGAUGGCAAAAAAUUAGCAGGAACCGGAAGUAUUGAUGGAGGUCUAGUUCGCGCCUGAAGUGACACGUGUAAAACAUAACCUCUUGAAAAGACACGGAGGGUCUGCAACCGGAACAGUGACUCAAAAGUCGACCACCAUCGGUACUUCCUGUUAUGAUCGGUUUUUCUAAUGAAUAUUUAUGCACAUGAUCUAAUUAAUCAGAAAUACUUUUUUAUAGAUUACUCAUAUUAACGAUAAUAUAUUUUUUGUAAGAUGUACUAGAGACUAUGUGAGUACAAUACGUGUCGUAAAAGUUUCGUGUAAACAAACCUCUAGUGCUUUUAAUAUUUAAAAGAAUAACAAGACCAGCAUAAAUGAGUGCAACGCCGUAUACGUGUAUGACUAUGUCUAUAUUCUCUUUUACGUCAAAUGUAUAAAAUUGAAACGUCAUAAAUAGAUAAUACGACUAGAAAACCGGUUACAGUUAUAAAAUAACAAAAAAUAAAACAAAAAUUGGUUUCAAUUUCCUUGCGACUCUUCAGUCUACAUAGCAGUUAACUGAAAGGUCAAGUUGAAGGAACGUAAAUUCUAAUUAUAUAUCUCGAUUUCACCAGUUCACAUAACUAUUUUUAUUCUAAUUAAAUUGAGGUAUUUUAAAGUUUUUUAUACGAUCUGUUUUCUAACGCUAUCUUUACGAUCAAUAUCGUGGAUAGAACCCGAUAAACACGAUCGUUAAGUUUAACAUUCAAUGUACGCUAUGAAUAAUGUACGUAUGUAUAAUUAUUAUAGAUUUGUAAUGUAUCAUUUACAUUGGGUUACAGUUCAAUACUUUAAUUAAGUAUGCAUAAGAAAUUUGACAGUGUGUAAUUUACGACAUUGAUUGAAGAAUUCUACACGAACUUGCAAACUUCGUUAAGAAACUGUUAUA
Molecule: long non-coding RNA, 3963 nt
Filed under: Megachile rotundata (alfalfa leafcutting bee)
Lineage: Eukaryota; Metazoa; Arthropoda; Insecta; Hymenoptera; Megachilidae
Description: uncharacterized LOC105663781, transcript variant X2
Source: RNAcentral